GGGAACAACAGUCAGGUGGCUGAUGCAACCGUAUAGUACAGUGAUCAUACAGUACAAUGCUUUAUUGAAAAUGACGCUUAAACCUGUUGUAAAUACAUGAUUUUCAGAUGUUAAACACGCUGCAGCGUUGCCAGCUUUUACACGUACAUAAGUUUUACACUAGUGGAAUAUGGAGGUCUUCCCUCUCGUCUUUGUUUAAGUGUGAGGUCCCACUUUUUUUUCUUUGAGAGUUGAGUAUUAAAUGGCGACAUUAGCCAAAACAAUAAAACAUACUAUUACUUGUAAUCCUUCUCCACAGAUGGACUCUCUCUCUCUCUCUCUCUCUCUCUCUCUCUCUCUGUCACGUGUGUGUGUGUGUGUGGUUGACACACCGUCAACAGGGGGAGGUCCACAGGAGCAAACACACACUUACUCUAGCAGCUUCGUCGACGUCCACCAGCAGGAAAACCACGUCACUGAACUCGGCGCUCUCUGACAGUUGCUGCAACGGAGAGGAUCGGGAGGCGUGUCCAACCACAAGAGGGGAGCGGCUUGACCAAGGGUUGCCGGAGCAACAACCUCCCUCCUCUAAAGAGAUGCUCUUCAUGGGCCUCAGGAAAAGAGCUCCUUGCAUGCUUCCUUUGGUCCAACGAUUUAAGAGCUCCUUUUAACCCCGUUAAAGGAGUCGUCCACUUACGUCAUAAUAGGGGCCGAUCAUUUUACAGGGCCCGCACCACGUGGCCUUGAACCCCACCACCACCAGUUUGUCCCCGGCAUCCUUCAGUUCUUUUUUGAACUGAUCCUACAGGAAAUAAGAAAACAGAGAAUGGCGUCUUAGUUUUAGUCACUGCUCGAUGAUGUCAGGGAUCAAUGGCUGGUUACAUAUAAACCCUUAAUCAUUUUCAUAAUAAUAACUUUGAAGCUUU
Scophthalmus maximus (turbot) is the source of this 905-nucleotide long non-coding RNA. RefSeq lists it as uncharacterized. NCBI's taxonomy places the organism in Eukaryota, Metazoa, Chordata, Actinopteri, Pleuronectiformes, Scophthalmidae. The record is from RefSeq and is a predicted model, not a curated record. The transcript is spliced from 2 exons.